UACGAAGGGGGCUAGCGUUGCUCGGAAUCACUGGGCGUAAAGGGUGCGUAGGCGGGUCUUUAAGUCAGAGGUGAAAUCCUGGAGCUCAACUCCAGAACUGCCUUUGAUACUGAGGAUCUUGAGUUCGGGAAGAGGUGAGUGGAAUUGCGAGUGUAGAGGUGAAAUUCGUAGAUAUUCGCAGGAACACCAGUGGCGAAGGCGGCUCACUGGUCCGAUACUGACGCUGAGGUGCGAAAGCGUGGG
This 243-nucleotide ribosomal RNA is filed under the name uncultured bacterium. RNAcentral's name for it is "partial 16S ribosomal RNA". It matches the Rfam family "Bacterial small subunit ribosomal RNA", at positions 524 to 765 of the family's 1533-position model. The record is from RNAcentral.